GGAGAGGUGGCCGAGUGGCUGAAGGCAGUGGUUUGCUAAACCGCCGUACGGACUAAUCUCUGUACCGGGGGUUCGAAUCCCCCCCUCUCCGCCA
RNAcentral lists this transfer RNA (94 nucleotides) under Kiritimatiellia bacterium. Its description in RNAcentral is "Kiritimatiellae bacterium (gut metagenome) tRNA-Ser". It matches the Rfam family "tRNA". Rfam says of the family: Transfer RNA (tRNA) molecules are approximately 80 nucleotides in length. The record is from RNAcentral. Lineage: Bacteria; Pseudomonadati; Kiritimatiellota; Kiritimatiellia.